This 26-nucleotide microRNA is filed under the name Equus caballus (horse). Its description in RNAcentral is "eca-miR-1244". The record is from miRBase by way of RNAcentral. Lineage: Eukaryota; Metazoa; Chordata; Mammalia; Perissodactyla; Equidae.
GAGUGGUUGGUUUGUAUGAGAUGGUU